GUAGGUGGCAAGCGUUGUCCGGAAUUAUUGGGCGUAAAGCGCGCGCAGGCGGGGUUCGUUUAAGUCUGAUGUGAAAGCCCACGGGCUCAACCGUGGAGGGUCGUUGGAAACUGGAGAACUUGAGUACAGAAGAGGAAAGCGGAAUUCCACGUGUAGCGGUGAAAUGCGUAGAGAUGUGGAGGAACACCAGUGGCGAAGGCGGCUUUCUGGUCUGUAACUGACGCUGAGGCGCGAAAGCGUGGGGAGCAAACAGGAUUAGAUACCCUGGUAGUCCACGCCGUAAACGAUGAGUGCUAAGUGUUAGGGGGUUUCCGCCCCUUAGUGCUGCAGCUAACGCAUUAAGCACUCCGCCUGGGGAGUACGGCCGCAAGGCUG
Molecule: ribosomal RNA, 375 nt
Filed under: uncultured organism
Description: partial 16S ribosomal RNA
Rfam family: Bacterial small subunit ribosomal RNA
Source: RNAcentral